AUCUAGUUGAUGAGUCCCAAACAGGACGAAAUGCGCAUCCUGGAU
Molecule: non-coding RNA, 45 nt
Filed under: Trichobilharzia regenti
Lineage: Eukaryota; Metazoa; Platyhelminthes; Trematoda; Strigeidida; Schistosomatidae
Source: RNAcentral